This 253-nucleotide ribosomal RNA is filed under the name uncultured bacterium. Its description in RNAcentral is "partial 16S ribosomal RNA". It matches the Rfam family "Bacterial small subunit ribosomal RNA", at positions 524 to 776 of the family's 1533-position model. The record is from RNAcentral.
UACGUAGGCAGCAAGCGUUGUUCGGAGUUACUGGGCGUAAAGGGUGUGUAGGCGGUUCUUUAAGUUUGGUGUGAAAUCUCCCGGCUCAACUGGGAGGGUGCGCCGAAUACUGAGGGACUAGAGUACGGGAGAGGAAAGUGGAAUUCCUGGUGUAGCGGUGAAAUGCGUAGAGAUCGGGAGGAACACCAGAGGCGAAGGCGGCGACCUGGACAGGUACUGACGCUCAUGCACGAAAGCGUGGGGAGCAAACAGG